RNAcentral lists this ribosomal RNA (253 nucleotides) under uncultured bacterium. RNAcentral describes it as "partial 16S ribosomal RNA". It matches the Rfam family "Bacterial small subunit ribosomal RNA", at positions 524 to 776 of the family's 1533-position model. The record is from RNAcentral.
UCCAGAGACUGCAAGCGUUAUUCGGAUUCACUGGGCGUAAAGGGUGCGCAGGCGGCCGAGUGUGUUAGAUGUGAAAUCCCGGGGCUCAACCCCGGAACUGCGUCUAAAACUACUUGGCUAGAGUAUUGGAGAGGGUAGCGGAAUUCACGGUGUAGCAGUGAAAUGCGUAGAUAUCGUGAGGAACACCAGAGGCGAAGGCGGCUACCUGGACAAUUACUGACGCUCAGGCACGAAAGCGUGGGGAGCAAAAGGG